Molecule: long non-coding RNA, 1036 nt
Filed under: Nicotiana tabacum (common tobacco)
Lineage: Eukaryota; Viridiplantae; Streptophyta; Magnoliopsida; Solanales; Solanaceae
Description: long non-coding RNA (NTAB_LNC006587)
Source: RNAcentral
GGGAGAUGAGAGAAAAGAGAGAGUCUCAUUAGUGAAAACCCCUCGAAGGGCACUAUGAGGCGACAAGACAGAUCAACAAAAAGCGACCACAUUCGCAACGAAAUGGACACUCAUUUAUCAUCCGCAGCAAGUCAGACCAUCGGGCAAAUCGAUUGAUACGAAUAGACUGGGUCGGGAAUCUAUGGUGCACGUCAUGAUCACGGGACCAGUCAUGUCCUCCAGAUAAGUUCUUCUGAGUUUCUUCUCCCACCAAAUAUUGGUUCAGAAAGAUUUUCUCCUUUUUCUAUCUUUUAUUUCUCUUCCUGAAAAUUUGUCUUGAAAAGGAUUUUUCAAAGCUUACUACCAGAGACCGAAGGGGAAUUCAUCCAAUGUAGGAUAACAAAAACAGUCUUAAAGGCCGGCCCCAGGCAAUGCAAUGAUCGUGCCUUGCAGUUUUGGAGGAAGUAAGCUCCUAAAGGGAGUGGUUUCGGGAGUAAAAGCAGACUCCCACAGCAUGUGCUUAAAGAGAAAGCAGAAAAGGGGAUAAAUUGAAAACCAGCCCCAGCAGGCUAGAAACCCCCAGCAAGCAAUUUUGUCCACCAACCAAUUAUGGGGACAUAGAGCAAGAAAAGGGGAAGAGAGGAAAAAUCAUCCACCACAAAACACCUUCUACCACCACGAUUAAAACUAACUAAAUCAUUUUGUCUGCUGCAGGAAAACAAAGGAUUAAUGAUGGCAGCAAGACGCAACGCCAGGGAAAUCACCAAAAAACCGGGGCAGAAAAUUUUCUGCCGAUUGUCGAAAAUUUUCUCGGAAGAACGGGGAAACAAUUUCAAUACUUUUAAGUUCUAGGUCGCCCACCAGUAAAAUGCGGGAAUACAUUUAAGUUCUAGGUCGCCCACCAGUAUAAUGCGGGAAUACUUUUAUGUUCUAGGUCGCCCACCAGUAAAAUGCGGGAAUACAUUUAAGUUCUAGGUCGCCCACCAGUAAAAUGCGGGAAUACUUUUAAGUUCUAGGUCGCCCACCAGUAAAAUGCGGGAAUACAUUUAAGUUCUAG